This 73-nucleotide transfer RNA is filed under the name Trichonephila inaurata madagascariensis. It matches the Rfam family "tRNA". From Rfam's summary of the family: Transfer RNA (tRNA) molecules are approximately 80 nucleotides in length. Their secondary structure includes four short double-helical elements and three loops (D, anti-codon, and T loops). The record is from Rfam by way of RNAcentral. Lineage: Eukaryota; Metazoa; Arthropoda; Arachnida; Araneae; Nephilidae.
GUCUCUGUAGCGCAAUGGAUUGUGUGUUGAACUUCUAAUUCAAAGGUCGUGGGUUCGAAUGAUACCUGAGAUU